GACGAACGCUGGCGGCGUGCUUAACACAUGCAAGUCGAACGGAAAGGCCCUGCUUUUGUGGGGUGCUCGAGUGGCGAACGGGUGAGUAACACGUGAGUAACCUGCCCUUGACUUUGGGAUAACUUCAGGAAACUGGGGCUAAUACCGGAUAGGAGCUCCUGCUGCAUUGUGGGGGUUGGAAAGUUUCGGCUGUUGGGGAUGGACUGGCGGCUUAUCAGCUUGUUGGUUGGGUAGUGGCUUACCAAGGCUUUGACGGGUAGCCGGCCUGAGAGGGUGACCGGCCACAUUGGGACUGAGAUACGGCCCAGACUCCUACGGGAGGCAGCAGUGGGGAAUAUUGCACAAUGGGCGGAAGCCUGAUGCAGCAACGCCGCGGGCGGGAUGACGGCCUUCGGGUUGUAAACCGCUUUCGCCUGUGACGAAGCGUGAGUGACGGUAAUGGGUAAAGAAGCACCGGCUAACUACGUG
Molecule: ribosomal RNA, 468 nt
Filed under: uncultured bacterium
Lineage: Bacteria
Description: partial 16S ribosomal RNA
Rfam family: Bacterial small subunit ribosomal RNA
Source: RNAcentral